Molecule: transfer RNA, 74 nt
Filed under: Candidatus Saccharimonadota bacterium
Lineage: Bacteria; Candidatus Saccharimonadota
Description: tRNA-Gln
Rfam family: tRNA
About the family: Transfer RNA (tRNA) molecules are approximately 80 nucleotides in length. Their secondary structure includes four short double-helical elements and three loops (D, anti-codon, and T loops). Further hydrogen bonds mediate the characteristic L-shaped molecular structure. tRNAs have two regions of fundamental functional importance: the anti-codon, which is responsible for specific mRNA codon recognition, and the 3' end, to which the tRNAs corresponding amino acid is attached (by aminoacyl-tRNA synthetases). tRNAs cope with the degeneracy of the genetic code in two manners: having more than one tRNA (with a specific anti-codon) for a particular amino acid; and 'wobble' base-pairing, i.e. permitting non-standard base-pairing at the 3rd anti-codon position.
Source: RNAcentral
UCGGGGUUCGUCUAAUGGUAGGACUCUGGGUUUUGGUCCCAGCAAUCCAGGUUCGAGUCCUGGGCCCCGAGCCA